GACGUAGGUGGCGAACGUUAUCCGGAAUCAUUGGGCGUAAAGGGUGCGUAGAUGGCAUAAUAAGUUAUUAGUGGGAAAUCGAGGCUCAACCUCGUGGAAGCUAGUAAUACUGUUUUGCUGGAGUGCAGAAGAGGUUAACGGAACUCCAUGUGGAGCGGUAAAAUGCGUAGAUAUAUGGAAGAACAUCAAUAACGGCGAAGGCAGUUAACUAUUCUGUUACUGACAUUGAGGCACGAAAGCGUGGGGAGCA
This 250-nucleotide ribosomal RNA is filed under the name uncultured bacterium. RNAcentral's name for it is "partial 16S ribosomal RNA". It matches the Rfam family "Bacterial small subunit ribosomal RNA", at positions 524 to 770 of the family's 1533-position model. The record is from RNAcentral.